UACGAAGGGGGCUAGCGUUGUUCGGAAUUACUGGGCGUAAAGGGCGCGUAGGCGGCACUGUUAGUCAGGCGUGAAAGUCCUGGGCUCAACCUGGGAACUGCGCUUGAUACGGCAGAGCUAGAGGAUGGAAGAGGCUCGCGGAAUUCCCAGUGUAGAGGUGAAAUUCGUAGAUAUUGGGAAGAACACCGGUGGCGAAGGCGGCGAGCUGGUCCAUUACUGACGCUGAGGCGCGACAGCGUGGGGAGCAAACAGG
Molecule: ribosomal RNA, 253 nt
Filed under: uncultured bacterium
Lineage: Bacteria
Description: partial 16S ribosomal RNA
Rfam family: Bacterial small subunit ribosomal RNA
Source: RNAcentral